RNAcentral lists this long non-coding RNA (214 nucleotides) under Pan troglodytes (chimpanzee). RNAcentral describes it as "long non-coding RNA NONPTRT013981". Lineage: Eukaryota; Metazoa; Chordata; Mammalia; Primates; Hominidae. The record is from RNAcentral.
UCGUUUAAUUUUAAAAAUAGUGAACACAACUAAAAUAAUUUGGAGCAAUCCUAAUCAAUAUAAUUUUCUGAAGGACAAGGCCACUCUUUCUUGAACAUUAGAACUUUGUACCCAUAUCACCACCCAUCAUGAUUGUCUCACCAACAACCUGCUUUCUGUUGACCAACUCCUCUUCCUUAUCCUUCCCUAAUUCUUAUUUUUCCCACACAUGAUU